ACAGAGGUGGUUCAGUGGCAGAAUUCUUGCCUCCCAUGCAGGAGACCCAGGUUCGAUUCCUGGCCAACGUA
Molecule: transfer RNA, 71 nt
Filed under: Loxodonta africana (African savanna elephant)
Lineage: Eukaryota; Metazoa; Chordata; Mammalia; Proboscidea; Elephantidae
Rfam family: tRNA
About the family: Transfer RNA (tRNA) molecules are approximately 80 nucleotides in length. Their secondary structure includes four short double-helical elements and three loops (D, anti-codon, and T loops).
Source: Rfam by way of RNAcentral